UCAGCUGUUUCGAUGCCUUCUU
RNAcentral lists this microRNA (22 nucleotides) under Melibe leonina. RNAcentral's name for it is "mle-miR-1989a-5p". The record is from miRBase by way of RNAcentral. Lineage: Eukaryota; Metazoa; Mollusca; Gastropoda; Nudibranchia; Dendronotidae.